RNAcentral lists this ribosomal RNA (497 nucleotides) under uncultured bacterium. RNAcentral describes it as "partial 16S ribosomal RNA". It matches the Rfam family "Bacterial small subunit ribosomal RNA", at positions 28 to 507 of the family's 1533-position model. The record is from RNAcentral.
GAUGAACGCUGGCGGCGUGCCUAAUACAUGCAAGUCGAGCGAACAGACGAGGAGCUUGCUCCUUUGACGUUAGCGGCGGACGGGUGAGUAGCACGUGGGUAACCUACCUAUAAGACUGGGAUAACUUCGGGAAACCGGAGCUAAUACCGGAUAAUAUUUCGAACCGCAUGGUUCGAUAGUGAAAGAUGGCUUUGCUAUCACUUAUAGAUGGACCUGCGCCGUAUUAGCUAGUUGGUAAGGUAACGGCUUACCAAGGCAACGAUACGUAGCCGACCUGAGAGGGUGAUCGGCCACACUGGAACUGAGACACGGUCCAGACUCCUACGGGAGGCAGCAGUAGGGAAUCUUCCGCAAUGGGCGAAAGCCUGACGGAGCAACGCCGCGUGAGUGAUGAAGGUCUUCGGAUCGUAAAACUCUGUUAUUAGGGAAGAACAAACGUGUAAGUAACUGUGCACGUCUUGACGGUACCUAAUCAGAAAGCCACGGCUAACUACGUG